UUUAAGGCGUCCAAUAAUACUCCAAACUGGAAGCCCGAGAGAGAGAAAGGAAGGACCUUUCAAAAAUUUUCUCGAUUUUUCUCUUUCUAGAAUCUGCCUUUUUUAAUCUAUUUCUCUCAAAAAAACCUUCCUUUCCACUUCUUCAGGGUAAUGCAGCAGGGGUCCUAUGUUUUUUCUGUUAAUAUCAGAUUGAGAAGCAAAAAUAUGGGUACUUAUCGAUCACAGUUAACAAAAUUUAUUAGGUAUCUCUUCAUUCUGACCGAGUUUAAAGGUUUCUCUGCGUAGGAAUUGCUGCUCUAUGAUUUCUUCAAUAUACGAGGUAAGAUCCAUUAUCUAAGUUAUCUCUUCUUAAGGAAUAAAUAUUGUUUGGACGUUGUUGUUUGGGAAAAUGGAUCUCACCUGAAAUCUGCUUCAAUGCUUAUCUGUUAGGUAAUUUGCCUUUUCCUAGCUUGGUGAGGUUUCUGCAGAGAUCAUUUUUUUUAUUCUGAUAUGACAUGGGGGCAAAUUCAGGACCUUAGCAAUGGUUGUUCAUCAUUAGAAGAGGCGUCUUAUAAAGAAUACUGUUUACCUCACACUUUUAGUCUCUUAUUAAUGCAUUGAGUAUGCAAAUACAAGGUUUGGCACAUCUAGUUUCUGGUUGGGGAUUUCAUACAAUCUAUGCAUUUUUAACUUAUAUUAUGAUCUUUGACAUUUUCCUUCUCUUGUAAUUUUAUAAAGCUGCUUUAAAUUGUGGUUAGAAUAUUUACUUUCAUCCCCCAAACAAGCUCAUUGCCUAAAUAGGUGGUUUUGUCACUCCUGCAUGUCCUUUUAGUAAUUAAUUAGGCUGUUGCUAGGCAGUAUACACAUACAUGCGCGCAGAAGCAUGUUGGCACCUAGGUACCAUAUGAGACCACAUUCUUGAUUUUGGAAGGCUUAAAUUCAAAUUUCUCUGUUAUAUUUUAACCCUUGGUAUCAUCUUGAGCAUUUUAUAUUUAGGUGUUUGUUUAUUUAUUAUGCAGAGGAUAAUAGGAUGAGAAACGUUGUUGUCAACAAGCAUGGAUUGUUUAUAAAGCCCUUCCUCCCUGUAUUUAUCAAUCCCUGUAUCUGUAUUUAUCUAUCGAUCUCUGUAUCUGUAUAUUAUCUGGCAACAAGGAAUGUUCUAAAUCCCUUGGAUUAUUAGAGUGCUGUUUAUCUUUGUGUCUUGAGUAAGCUAGUUGCUGAGUUAUUUAUUAUUGAUAUAGGUUCCCCUUAUUUGAUGCAUUUUAGUUAUUUCUAACUCCAUUCAUCAUUUUACAUUUUUUUUUUUGGCUUUUACCAUUACAGCUUUCUACUUUUCUAGUACUAGCUUAAUGCCUGGGAUAUUUUUGAGUUUUUAUAUAUUAUAAGAUGCUCCAUUCUGUUGAGGACCUUGAGGCACUCUUCUUGCCUUUCAUGAAAUGCCUCAACUUUGCAUGGACCUGGGCAACGAAGUGGGUUAGGACAAAAUUUCUUGAUUGGCUGCAAAAUUUAAGAACUUAGGAAACUUAAGUAGCUAUACUAGGUUCUAUACUGCUUGGACGUGUGGGGUUCUUUUGAUAAGGGAAGAGAAAGUGUUACAACAAGUAAAGUGAGAUGCACUAGAGGUGAUGGAGAGGAAGAUUAAAGCAAUUCUUGAAGUUUUAAGUGCUUUAUGGCAGGAGGUGAGAGAUAAAAGUUAGGGAAAAGAUAGUGAAACCUUGGCGGCGGAGCUUGAUGGAGAAUAGAAUAGGAAAGAGUUGAGUAGAGGAGAGAGAGUAUUCGAGAAGAGUUGAGGGAGAGCUUUAGAGAGUUUAAUGAUUUCACUGAAAUUUUGAUUUGCAUCUUUAAUUGCCAAGCGCAUAUAUAUAUAUAUAUAUAUAUAUAUAUAAUGUACUUAUUGGAUAUCAUCGAAAGAAAGAACAUGUUCAUGAUAAGAGCACGUCCAUUAUGUCAUAACACGUUUAUCAUCGGAUAGCACGGGAGCUCAUUAGUGAAAGGAUGUUUUGGUUUAAUGAGACAGUGGAGUUAAGUUACACUUAGCAAUGUGUCAUGUUUUUUAGGGAAAAAGAAAAAAGGUAAAGCACAUAUAAAUCGAAGAUCUUUUAACUAUCUUCAUAUUUGAGUUAUUUAAGUCAAGCUCUUAAGAACAUUUCAAAAGUGAAAAUAACUCAUGAAUCUUGUUACAUGUUCUGAAUUAUUUUCACUAUUCUCUGUUAUGGUAUGGCUCCUUGACAUAAUGUACGAUAUUAGUUGUAUGCUGUUAAUGAUGAGUGAUGGUCCUCAUCCUCGCACAACAGAAGAGGUAUUCAAUCAUGCGCAUGCCAUGGCCAGACUUGGUUUUUUCUUCUUUGCGCAGGAUGCUUUUUCAUGUGAAGGUCCCAUUGGAGCUGGUUUCGACUUUCUUAUCUUUAUUUUCGGUUUGUUGGUUUUUACUUAUUUUUAUUAUGUUGGUCAUGUUUUUUAUGUAAUAAUGAUUUAUUUUGUUCCUUUUAAUGAAAUUUCAUGAUUCAGUGAGAAAAAAUGAACAACUUUUAGAAGUGUGAAGCUACUUUUGAUUACCAAGGAGAUAGAAUUUACACUCAU
Molecule: non-coding RNA, 2559 nt
Organism: Theobroma umbraticum
Lineage: Eukaryota; Viridiplantae; Streptophyta; Magnoliopsida; Malvales; Malvaceae
Source: RefSeq, a predicted model, not a curated record